GUAAACGGCGGCCGUAACUAUAACGGUCCUAAGGUAGCGAAAUUCCUUGUCGGGUAAGUUCCGACCCGCACGAAAGGCGUAACGACUUGGGCGCUGUCUCGGCAAGAGACCCGGUGAAAUCAUAAUACCUGUGAAGAUGCAGGUUACCCGCGACAAGACGGAAAGACCCCAUGGAGCUUUACUGUAGCCUGGUAUUGAAACUUUGUGCAUCAUGUACAGAAUAGGUGGGAAGCUGUGAAGCGAGGGCGCCAGCCUUCGUGGAGCUGUCGUUGGGAUACCACCCUUGAUGUACGGAGUUUCUAACUUGCCGCCCUUAUCGGGUGGAAGGACCAUGCCAGGUGGGCAGUUUGACUGGGGCGGUCGCCUCCUAAAGAGUAACGGAGGCGCCCAAAGGUUCCCUCAGAAUGGUCGGAAAUCAUUCGUAGAGUGUAAAGGCACAAGGGAGCUUGACUGCGAGACCUACAAGUCGAGCAGGGACGAAAGUCGGGCUUAGUGAUCCGGUGGUUCCGCAUGGAAGGGCCAUCGCUCAACGGAUAAAAGCUACCCUGGGGAUAACAGGCUUAUCUCCCCCAAGAGUCCACAUCGACGGGGAGGUUUGGCACCUCGAUGUCGGCUCAUCGCAUCCUGGGGCUGAAGUAGGUCCCAAGGGUUGGGCUGUUCGCCCAUUAAAGCGGUACGCGAGCUGGGUUCAGAACGUCGUGAGACAGUUCGGUCCCUAUCUGUCGCGGGCGUAGGAAGUUUGAGGAGAGCUGUCCUUAGUACGAGAGGACCGGGAUGGACGCACCCCUGGUGCACCAGUUGUCACGCCAGUGGCACAGCUGGGUAGCUAUGUGCGGACGGGAUAAGCGCUGAAAGCAUCUAAGCGUGAAGCCCCCUUCAAGAUGAGACUUCCCAUAGCGCAAGCUAGUAAGACCCCUCAUAGACGAUGAGGUUGAUAGGUUCGGUGUGGAAGUGCAGUAAUGCAUGGAGCUGACGAAUACUAAUCGGUCGAGGACUUAUCCAC
RNAcentral lists this ribosomal RNA (1003 nucleotides) under Brevibacillus laterosporus. Its description in RNAcentral is "bacterial LSU rRNA". It matches the Rfam family "Bacterial large subunit ribosomal RNA", at positions 1923 to 2925 of the family's 2925-position model. Lineage: Bacteria; Bacillati; Bacillota; Bacilli; Caryophanales; Paenibacillaceae. The record is from RNAcentral.